Molecule: long non-coding RNA, 237 nt
Filed under: Capra hircus (goat)
Lineage: Eukaryota; Metazoa; Chordata; Mammalia; Artiodactyla; Bovidae
Description: lncRNA (ENSCHIG00000001792.1)
Source: RNAcentral
CUGCAGAGAAGCCAAGAUAGUGCAUUUCUAACAAACUUCAAAUGGCUUACAUACUGCUAGUCCUGAGACCAUAUUUUGAGUAGUGAAGAGCUAGAGUCCUAAGACCAUAAGGUCACUGAAGACUGGACUGCUGGCUUUUUCCUGGAGCUCUGAGUUCUGCUGGAUGGCACUAAGUAUUUGUGUUGGAAAGGUAUUAUAAAUUCCUUUUUGAAAUUAGAUAAGACAGAAGGAAAAGAA